This 590-nucleotide ribosomal RNA is filed under the name uncultured Burkholderia sp. Its description in RNAcentral is "bacterial SSU rRNA". It matches the Rfam family "Bacterial small subunit ribosomal RNA", at positions 420 to 1003 of the family's 1533-position model. The record is from RNAcentral. Lineage: Bacteria; Pseudomonadati; Pseudomonadota; Betaproteobacteria; Burkholderiales; Burkholderiaceae.
UAGUGAUUAAGCAUUUUUGUCCGGAAAGAAAACUUCUGCCCUUAAUACGGCGGGAGGAUGACGGUACCGGAAGAAUAAGCGCCGGCAACUACGUGCCAGCAGCCGCGGUAAUACGUAGGGUGCGAGCGUUAAUCGGAAUUACUGGGCGUAAAGCGUGCGCAGGCGGUUCGUUAAGACAGAUGUGAAAUCCCCGGGCUUAACCUGGGAACUGCAUUUGUGACUGGCGAGCUAGAGUAUGGCAGAGGGGGGUAGAAUUCCACGUGUAGCAGUGAAAUGCGUAGAGAUGUGGAGGAAUACCGAUGGCGAAGGCAGCCCCCUGGGCCAAUACUGACGCUCAUGCACGAAAGCGUGGGGAGCAAACAGGAUUAGAUACCUUGGUAGUCCACGCCCUAAACGAUGUCAACUAGUUGUUGGGGAUUCAUUUCCUUAGUAACGUAGCUAACGCGUGAAGUUGACCGCCUGGGGAGUACGGUCGCAAGAUUAAAACUCAAAGGAAUUGACGGGGACCCGCACAAGCGGUGGAUGAUGUGGAUUAAUUCGAUGCAACGCGAAAAACCUUACCUACCCUUGACAUGGUCGGAACCCUGCUG